GGCCAAAGAGCUCUGAUGGAUCUCCCGGGACUGACACCAUAAGGAGUGUGCACUUCCUUGGUCAUCCACUUGUUUUCUUCCCCAUAUUUUGCUUUGAUCUUCCCCAGUAUGGUUGAGGUGUAUGUGAAUACCUCCAUAACCAUUUAAGUCUUAAAGCUUUGCUCUGCAGCUUUAAAUUCCUGAUACCUAGUCCUCCCUGCUUCUUCCUCAAUAGAACAUUAUCCCACGUGACUAAAUGGAUUUUUUUUUUUUUUUAAUCUUAAUCACCCUUCUAGAGAAAGACCCUCCUGAUCUUGUCUAGUCUUUCAAUCACUCCAACAGGAAUGGGAAAAACAGACAUCAUAUAGAUAGGGAGUGCAUCCAGAACUGAAUUUAUAAGUGUGACUCUGCCCUCUAGAGAUAUAUAUUGUGACUUCCACCUGGAUAGCUUCUUCUCACAUUUUUCAAUCACAGAGUUCCAGAUAUUCAAGGACUUUGAUUUGGCUCCUAAAGGCAUACCCAAAAAUUCCUUCAAACAAUACCAGAAUUGCUCUCAAAAUCUUCAGUUGCUCUUCCUCAGCAUCACAAAAGAUUAGGAUGUUUUUCCGAAGUCCGUUUA
This is a long non-coding RNA of Lycium ferocissimum, 598 nucleotides long. RefSeq lists it as uncharacterized. The transcript is spliced from 2 exons. The record is from RefSeq and is a predicted model, not a curated record. NCBI's taxonomy places the organism in Eukaryota, Viridiplantae, Streptophyta, Magnoliopsida, Solanales, Solanaceae.